This 253-nucleotide ribosomal RNA is filed under the name uncultured prokaryote. RNAcentral describes it as "partial 16S ribosomal RNA". It matches the Rfam family "Bacterial small subunit ribosomal RNA", at positions 524 to 776 of the family's 1533-position model. The record is from RNAcentral.
UACAGAGGGGGCAAGCGUUGUCCGGAGUGACUGGGCGUACAGGGCGCGCAGGCGGUGCGCGACGUGCUGUGUGACACCUCCCCGCUUACCGGGGAGGGGCCACGGUAGGCGCGCGUGCUAGAGGGAUUGAGAGGGAUGUGGAAUACCCGGUGGAGCGGUGAAAUGCGUAGAGAUCGGGUGGAACACCAGCGGCGAAGGCGGCAUCCUGGCAAUCACCUGACGCUGAGGCGCGAGAGCGUGGGGAGCAAACGGG